ACACGACUACAUUAGAUACCCGGGUAGUCCUAGCCGUAAACGAUACUCGCUAGGUGUCGGCCACGGUGCGACCGUUGUCGGUGCCGUAGGGAAGCCGUGAAGCGAGCCACCUGGGAAGUACGGCCGCAAGGCUGAAACUUAAAGGAAUUGGCGGGGUAGCACAACAACGGGUGGAGCUUGCGGUUUAAUUGGAUUCAACGCCGGAAAUCUUACCGGGACCGACAGCAACAUGAAGGCCAAGCUGAAGACUUUGCCGGAUUAGCUG
RNAcentral lists this ribosomal RNA (265 nucleotides) under uncultured archaeon. RNAcentral describes it as "partial 16S ribosomal RNA". It matches the Rfam family "Archaeal small subunit ribosomal RNA", at positions 717 to 982 of the family's 1478-position model. The record is from RNAcentral.